Non-coding RNA from Peromyscus maniculatus bairdii (prairie deer mouse), 2888 nucleotides. NCBI's taxonomy places the organism in Eukaryota, Metazoa, Chordata, Mammalia, Rodentia, Cricetidae. The record is from RefSeq and is a predicted model, not a curated record.
AGGAACAUACAUCCAUUCACUAAAUAAGUAAAUAAAAAGAAAUUAAAACAAUUUAAAAAUAGUAACUAAGGAAAAAAGGAGAAUUCAAAGCCAGCCUCAGCUAAUCAUGAGACUCUGUCUCUAAGCACAAACACAUCAAUAAACAGGCAAAGUGAGAUCUGUAUUUGAAUAAAGAAAACCAGUCUGUCCAUGUACUGACCACCUCACAGACACUGGACAUACAUUUUCUUGAUUUUUGUUUGUUUGUUUUUUGAGACAGGGUUUCUCUAUGUGUAUUCCUGACUGUCCUGGAACUCACUGUGUAGACCAGGCUGACCACAAACUCACAGAGAUCCUCCUGUCUCUGCCCCUCAAAUGCUGGGAUUAAAGGCGUGCACCACCACUUCCCUGUAGGACAUACAUUUUCUUAAUUAGCCAGUCCAAAUGCAUAAGGCAAGUGUGACUGGUCCCAUCUUACAGAUACUUCACUUCGUCAUUUGGAUCCUUCCCACUAAUCUCGUUGCCAUGGCAAUUUAUAAUAAUCACCUAUUAUCAUUUCCAAUAUUGUCACUGACAUCAAAUUUUACAGACAUGCUUUGGUUUCUGUUGGAUCAUUAGCAAGUUUAGGACCUGAUGUGAGCCAUGGGGUAGGUUUGACCUACACCAGGCUGGCGUCGAACUCACAGAGAUCCACCUGCCUCUGCCUCCCGAAUGCUGGGAUUACAGGCGUGUGUCACCGUGCCCAGUGGCUAGAACGAUUCUUAACGUUUUCCUUUUGCUCUGAUAUCUGAUUAGAGCUUUGGUCACUUUUAUCUGUUUAUUUAUUUAUCCGCACUGGUGUGAGGAUGUCAGAUCCCCUGAAACUGGAUUCACAGGUAGUUGUGAGCUGCCAUGUGGGUACUGGGAACUGAACCCAGGUCCUUUGUAAGAAUAGUCAGUACUCGUAAAUCUCUCCAGCCCCAUAGCCACUUUUUUUAAACCACUGUAUUUUUCGAUAAAUCAUCCAUAAGCAUUACAGUCUGAGCCACCAACAACCCUGAGCCUAGAGCAGAGGUCUCCAAAGGAAUAUGCCAUUGAUCAUAGCUUCUUAAACUGUGGGCUGCAACUCCACCUGAGGUCAUAUAACUGAAUGCAGAGGUCACAACUGUAAAAUGUUUCUGAAGGCACAGCCAUGAAAAUAAAUUCACAAUCAAAUGUAUCUCCGAUAUUUCUAGCAGCAGCAACCCAUGAUGCUGCAAACGGAUUCACUGCAGCUUUGGUCCUGAAGACACAACACACAUCUUUGCAUGGUGCCUGCCACUGCACCAUGCAAGGCCAGCCAACACUGCCCGAAACACCUCAGCUCAGAGUCGAGAUGAUUAUACACUGUGGAUCGCAGGAUUGCAGACUCUUCCUGCACAUACGGAAUGUUCUGAUCCCAGCAGAAACAUGACGGGUUUAUGAAAAACGAAGACUAAUUUUGUGAUUUGAAAAUUUCAUACAUAUGUAUUAUAUUCUCAUUACUCUCCCACCCCUCUUGUCUCUCUUCCAUCUCUAUCAACACUUCCCAUCUCUACCAAUCUCUUGCCCAGAUUCCUGACUUUGGGUUUUGUUAAUGUGACAGUUUUCGUUUGGCCAGGGCCGUCUGUGUGUACGGAUCAGAACCAUCAGAGCUGGACAGGGUCAUCAGUGGGUACACGGCUGACCUGUGUCUGUCUGUGGUAAACGGUUCAGCAAGGACAGGGAAGGCCUCCUGAGUCCUCCUCCCUCCACUCCUGUUGAUCAGGCAUCGUCUGCAGACCCAGUGAGGGCGACCCCAGCUGCUGUGAGCUGGUGGCUGCAAUCAAUGGUUGUGUCUUGGAUUUCGUCAAGGUGACACAGCCCCAGACAUAUCAGUGAAGAGGGAAGCUCAGUUGAGAAAUUGCUUCUACCAGAAUGCCAUGUGGGCGAGUUUGUGGGGCAUUUUCUUGAUUAAACUGAGGUGGGCGGACCCCUAUCCCUGGGGGCAGUGCCGCCCCUGGGCAUGUGGUCCUGGGUUGUGUAAGAAAGCAGACUCCUGAGCAAGCAUGAGAAGCCAGCCAGUAAGUGGUGUGCCUCCAUAGCCUCUGCUUUGGUCCCUGCUUCUGGGAUCCCGCCCCGAGUGCCCGCUUCGUCUUCCCUCAGUAACGGACCGCAACCCGCAAAAGUGAAAUAAGCCUUUCCUCCCCCAGUUGCUUGCAAUCAUCGUUGUAUCAGCAACAGAAACCAACCGAGACAGCGGCCUUUCUCCUUGUUUCCCGGCAGUGUUCCCUGAGUCUUACAGAGGAUGACAGAAAUGCUGAUUUAGGCGGAGUACUCAGCCACCACCUUUCUCAGCAGGACUCUCUACAGUCCCCAUUACCACGGCGUGGAAAGAGAAGCUUCUCUGAUUCAGGGUUCAAGUACCAGGAAGAUACUUACUCCUUCCUGCAGGCUGGGCCUCCAAUCCAAACAGAGAGCGUUUGGUCAUCCCGUUACCAUACUGCCGCCAUUGCACAUCUUACUUGUCAAGUUGGUACCGUAGAUCUGGAAUUAAUAGCUGGCUGUCGCCACUGAUGCCUCCCCUGAGCCCAGCAGCCUUGGGACUAUGAGAGGACUUCCGCCAGGAAGGAGGAAGCCUCCACCACAGUUCAGCUUGGGGAAAACAAAGACUUUAAUAAUUUCUUAUCAUCACUCCUCGGCGUGCAAGUAUCAAAUCAGUAUUCCUUUGGACUGGAUUACAAUGUUUGAUUUCAAAACUUGCUGUCUGAGUUGCUGACUUAAGCUUCAUUUUACAAAAACAUUGAAUGAAUUUUGGCUUGGAAUUAUGUUAAAACGGCCAGUGGUCUCAAACAUACUUCCCCAUUUUGUACUAUGUAUUUAUGUAAAGUAGCAUUCUUUGCAUUUGACAAUUAAAUCAAAAUAUCGAUCAA